GUAGCAAAAUUUAAUAAAACGUUAUUUUUGACCAUUUUGGGUGUUCAGUGUUAACGCCCUGACCGUACCAGAUUGAGUGUAAAUGGGAUUUGGCAAUAGUCGGUACCCACGACCACCAUCUCAGGUAGCAAAAUUUAAUAAAACGUUAUUUUUGACCAUUUUGGGUGUUCAGUGUUAACGCCCUGACCGUACCAGAUUGAGUGUAAAUGGGAUUUGGCAAUAGUCGGUACCCACGACCACCAUCUCAGGUAGCAAAAUUUAAUAAAACGUUAUUUUUGACCAUUUUGGGUGUUCAGUGUUAACGCCCUGACCGUACCAGAUUGAGUGUAAAUGGGAUUUGGCAAUAGUCGGUACCCACGACCACCAUCUCAGGUAGCAAAAUUUAAUAAAACGUUAUUUUUGACCAUUUUGGGUGUUCAGUGUUAACGCCCUGACCGUACCAGAUUGAGUGUAAAUGGGAUUUGGCAAUAGUCGGUACCCACGACCACCAUCUCAGGUAGCAAAAUUUAAUAAAACGUUUUUUUUGACUAUUUUGGGUGUUCAGUGUUAACGCCCUGACCGUACCAGAUUGAGUGUAAAUGGGAUUUGGCAAUAGUCGGUACCCACGACCACCCCCUCAGGUAGCAAAAUUUAAUAAAACGUCAUUUGAGAGCAUUUUGGGCAAUUCAAAUUGACAAAAAAAUUUGAUCAGCCCUGUCGUCCUCCUUAGUCACGGUUAGUCGACGACUAAGGGGCUUUAUUUUUAAGUCAAAAAAGAUUUUUCUCAAAAUAACCAUGUAAAAUGGUUAAUGUGAUUUUACCACCAUCCACGUGGUGCACAUCUUUCAAAAAAAAUCACUUCACUUCACUUCACGACCACCCCCUCAGGUGGCAAAAUGUAAUAAAACGUUAUUUUUGACCAUUUUGGGUGUUCAGUGUUAACGCCCUGACCGUACCAGAUUGAGUGUAAAUGGGAUUUGGCAAUAGUCGGUACCCACGACCACCCCCUCAGGUAGCAAAAUUUAAUAAAACGUUAUUUUUGACUAUUUUGGGUGUUCAGUGUUAACGCCCUGACCGUACCAGAUUGAGUGUAAAUGGAAUUUGGCAAUAGUCGGUACCCACGACCACCCCCUCAGGUAGCAAAAUUUAAUAAAACGUCAUUUGAGAGCAUUUUGGGCAAUUCAAAUUGACAAAAAAAUUUGAUCAGCCCUGUCGUCCUCCUUAGUCACGGUUAGUCGACGACUAAGGGGCUUUAUUUUUAAGUCAAAAAAGAUUUUUCUCAAAAUAACCAUGUAAAAUGGUUAAUGUGAUUUUACCACCAUCCACGUGGUGCACAUCUUUCAAAAAAAAUCACUUCACUUCACUUCACGACCACCCCCUCAGGUGGCAAAAUGUAAUAAAACGUUAUUUUUGACCAUUUUGGGUGUUCAGUGUUAACGCCCUGACCGUACCAGAUUGAGUGUAAAUGGGAUUUGGCAAUAGUCGGUACCCACGACCACCCCCUCAGGUAGCAAAAUUUAAUAAAACGUUAUUUUUGACCAUUUUGGGUGUUCAGUGUUAACGCCCUGACCGUACCAGAUUGAGUGUAAAUGGGAUUUGGCAAUAGUCGGUACCCACGACCACCCCCUCAGGUAGCAAAAUUUAAUAAAACGUCAUUUGAGAGCAUUUUGGGCAAUUCAAAUUGACAAAAAAAUUUGAUCAGCCCUGUCGUCCUCCUUAGUCACGGUUAGUCGACGACUAAGGGGCUUUAUUUUUAAGUCAAAAAAGAUUUUUCUCAAAAUAACCAUGUAAAAUGGUUAAUGUGAUUUUACCACCAUCCACGUGGUGCACAUCUUUCAAAAAAAAUCACUUCACUUCACUUCACGACCACCCCCUCAGGUAGCAAAAUUUAAUAAAACGUUAUUUUUGACCAUUUUGGGUGUUCAGUGUUAACGCCCUGACCGUACCAGAUUGAGUGUAAAUGGGAUUUGGCAAUAGUCGGUACCCACGACCACCCCCUCAGGUGGCAAAAUGUAAUAAAACGUUAUUUUUGACCAUUUUGGGUGUUCAGUGUUAACGCCCUGACCGUACCAGAUUGAGUGUAAAUGGGAUUUGGCAAUAGUCGGUACCCACGACCACCCCCUCAGGUAGCAAAAUUUAAUAAAACGUUAUUUUUGACCAUUUUGGGUGUUCAGUGUUAACGCCCUGACCGUACCAGAUUGAGUGUAAAUGGGAUUUGGCAAUAGUCGGUACCCACGACCACCCCCUCAGGUAGCAAAAUUUAAUAAAACGUCAUUUGAGAGCAUUUUGGGCAAUUCAAAUUGACAAAAAAAUUUGAUCAGCCCUGUCGUCCUCCUUAGUCACGGUUAGUCGACGACUAAGGGGCUUUAUUUUUAAGUCAAAAAAGAUUUUUCUCAAAAUAACCAUGUAAAAUGGUUAAUGUGAUUUUACCACCAUCCACGUGGUGCACAUCUUUCAAAAAAAAUCACUUCACUUCACUUCACGACCACCCCCUCAGGUGGCAAAAUGUAAUAAAACGUUAUUUUUGACCAUUUUGGGUGUUCAGUGUUAACGCCCUGACCGUACCAGAUUGAGUGUAAAUGGGAUUUGGCAAUAGUCGGUACCCACGACCACCAUCUCAGGUAGCAAAAUUUAAUAAAACGUUAUUUUUGACUAUUUUGGGUGUUCAGUGUUAACGCCCUGACCGUACCAGAUUGAGUGUAAAUGGGAUUUGGCAAUAGUCGGUACCCACGACCACCCCCUCAGGUAGCAAAAUUUAAUAAAACGUUAUUUUUGACCAUUUUGGGUGUUCAGUGUAAACGCCCUGACCGUACCAGAUUGAGUGUUAAUGGGAUUUGGCAAUAGUCGGUACCCACGACCACCCCCUCAGGUAGCAAAAUUUAAUAAAACGUUAUUUUUGACCAUUUUGGGUGUUCAGUGUUAACGCCCUGACCGUACCAGAUUGAGUGUAAAUGGGAUUUGGCAAUAGUCGGUACCCACGACCACCAUCUCAGGUAGCAAAAUUUAAUAAAACGUUAUUUUUGACUAUUUUGGGUGUUCAGUGUUAACGCCCUGACCGUACCAGAUUGAGUGUAAAUGGGAUUUGGCAAUAGUCGGUACCCACGACCACCCCCUCAGGUAGCAAAAUUUAAUAAAACGUCAUUUGAGAGCAUUUUGGGCAAUUCAAAUUGACAAAAAAAUUUGAUCAGCCCUGUCGUCCUCCUUAGUCACGGUUAGUCGACGACUAAGGGGCUUUAUUUUUAAGUCAAAAAAGAUUUUUCUCAAAAUAACCAUGUAAAAUGGUUAAUGUGAUUUUACCACCAUCCACGUGGUGCACAUCUUUCAAAAAAAAUCACUUCACUUCACUUCACGACCACCCCCUCAGGUGGCAAAAUGUAAUAAAACGUUAUUUUUGACCAUUUUGGGUGUUCAGUGUUAACGCCCUGACCGUACCAGAUUGAGUGUAAAUGGGAUUUGGCAAUAGUCGGUACCCACGACCACCCCCUCAGGUAGCAAAAUUUAAUAAAACGUUAUUUUUGACCAUUUUGGGUGUUCAGUGUUAACGCCCUGACCGUACCAGAUUGAGUGUAAAUGGGAUUUGGCAAUAGUCGGUACCCACGACCACCCCCUCAGGUAGCAAAAUUUAAUAAAACGUUAUUUUUGACCAUUUUGGGUGUUCAGUGUUAACGCCCUGACCGUACCAGAUUGAGUGUAAAUGGGAUUUGGCAAUAGUCGGUACCCACGACCACCAUCUCAGGUAGCAAAAUUUAAUAAAACGUUAUUUUUGACCAUUUUGGGUGUUCAGUGUUAACGCCCUGACCGUACCAGAUUGAGUGUAAAUGGGAUUUGGCAAUAGUCGGUACCCACGACCACCCCCUCAGGUAGCAAAAUUUAAUAAAACGUCAUUUGAGAGCAUUUUGGGCAAUUCAAAUUGACAAAAAAAUUUGAUCAGCCCUGUCGUCCUCCUUAGUCACGGUUAGUCGACGACUAAGGGGCUUUAUUUUUAAGUCAAAAAAGAUUUUUCUCAAAAUAACCAUGUAAAAUGGUUAAUGUGAUUUUACCACCAUCCACGUGGUGCACAUCUUUCAAAAAAAAUCACUUCACUUCACUUCACGACCACCCCCUCAGGUGGCAAAAUGUAAUAAAACGUUAUUUUUGACCAUUUUGGGUGUUCAGUGUUAACGCCCUGACCGUACCAGAUUGAGUGUAAAUGGGAUUUGGCAAUAGUCGGUACCCACGACCACCCCCUCAGGUAGCAAAAUUUAAUAAAACGUCAUUUGAGAGCAUUUUGGGCAAUUCAAAUUGACAAAAAAAUUUGAUCAGCCCUGUCGUCCUCCUUAGUCACGGUUAGUCGACGACUAAGGGGCUUUAUUUUUAAGUCAAAAAAGAUUUUUCUCAAAAUAACCAUGUAAAAUGGUUAAUGUGAUUUUACCACCAUCCACGUGGUGCACAUCUUUCAAAAAAAAUCACUUCACUUCACUUCACGACCACCCCCUCAGGUGGCAAAAUGUAAUAAAACGUUAUUUUUGACCAUUUUGGGUGUUCAGUGUUAACGCCCUGACCGUACCAGAUUGAGUGUAAAUGGGAUUUGGCAAUAGUCGGUACCCACGACCACCCCCUCAGGUAGCAAAAUUUAAUAAAACGUUAUUUUUGACCAUUUUGGGUGUUCAGUGUUAACGCCCUGACCGUACCAGAUUGAGUGUAAAUGGGAUUUGGCAAUAGUCGGUACCCACGACCACCCCCUCAGGUAGCAAAAUUUAAUAAAACGUUAUUUUUGACUAUUUUGGGUGUUCAGUGUUAACGCCCUGACCGUACCAGAUUGAGUGUAAAUGGGAUUUGGCAAUAGUCGGUACCCACGACCACCAUCUCAGGUAGCAAAAUUUAAUAAAACGUUAUUUUUGACUAUUUUGGGUGUUCAGUGUUAACGCCCUGACCGUACCAGAUUGAGUGUAAAUGGGAUUUGGCAAUAGUCGGUACCCACGACCACCAUCUCAGGUAGCAAAAUUUAAUAAAACGUUAUUUUUGACCAUUUUGGGUGUUCAGUGUUAACGCCCUGACCGUACCAGAUUGAGUGUAAAUGGGAUUUGGCAAUAGUCGGUACCCACGACCACCCCCUCAGGUAGCAAAAUUUAAUAAAACGUCAUUUGAGAGCAUUUUGGGCAAUUCAAAUUGACAAAAAAAUUUGAUCAGCCCUGUCGUCCUCCUUAGUCACGGUUAGUCGACGACUAAGGGGCUUUAUUUUUAAGUCAAAAAAGAUUUUUCUCAAAAUAACCAUGUAAAAUGGUUAAUGUGAUUUUACCACCAUCCACGUGGUGCACAUCUUUCAAAAAAAAUCACUUCACUUCACUUCACGACCACCCCCUCAGGUGGCAAAAUGUAAUAAAACGUUAUUUUUGACCAUUUUGGGUGUUCAGUGUUAACGCCCUGACCGUACCAGAUUGAGUGUAAAUGGGAUUUGGCAAUAGUCGGUACCCACGACCACCAUCUCAGGUAGCAAAAUUUAAUAAAACGUUAUUUUUGACCAUUUUGGGUGUUCAGUGUUAACGCCCUGACCGUACCAGAUUGAGUGUAAAUGGGAUUUGGCAAUAGUCGGUACCCACGACCACCAUCUCAGGUAGCAAAAUUUAAUAAAACGUUAUUUUUGACCAUUUUGGGUGUUCAGUGUUAACGCCCUGACCGUACCAGAUUGAGUGUAAAUGGGAUUUGGCAAUAGUCGGUACCCAC
This is a long non-coding RNA of Aedes albopictus (Asian tiger mosquito), 5682 nucleotides long. RefSeq lists it as uncharacterized. The record is from RefSeq and is a predicted model, not a curated record. The transcript has 4 exons. NCBI's taxonomy places the organism in Eukaryota, Metazoa, Arthropoda, Insecta, Diptera, Culicidae.